RNAcentral lists this ribosomal RNA (339 nucleotides) under uncultured Racocetraceae. Its description in RNAcentral is "SSU rRNA". It matches the Rfam family "Eukaryotic small subunit ribosomal RNA", at positions 575 to 929 of the family's 1831-position model. Lineage: Eukaryota; Fungi; Glomeromycota; Glomeromycetes; Diversisporales; Gigasporaceae. The record is from RNAcentral.
CCCGGUAAUUCCAGCUCCAAUAGCGUAUAUUAAAGUUGUUGCAGUUAAAAAGCUCGUAGUUGAAUCUCGGGGUUCUACUGUUGGUCGGGCUUUGUCUGUACUGGCGUGUAGAAUUUCUACCUCCUGGGGAACCAUCAUGUUAUUAAUUUAACGUGGUGGGAAACCAGGACCUUUACCUUGAAAAAAUUAGAGUGUUCAAAGCAGGCUUAUGUCCAUUAGCAUGGAAUAAUAGAAUAGGACGGUGGUCCUGUUUUGUUGGUUCUGAAUCACCGUAAUGAUUAAUAGGGAUAGUCGGGGGCAUUAGUAUUCAAUUGUCAGAGGUGAAAUUCUUGGAUUUAU